CUGCUUUGCUGACGAGUGGCGGACGGGUGAGUAAUGUCUGGGAAACUGCCUGAUGGAGGGGGAUAACUACUGGAAACGGUAGCUAAUACCGCAUAACGUCGCAAGACCAAAGAGGGGGACCUUCGGGCCUCUUGCCAUCGGAUGUGCCCAGAUGGGAUUAGCUAGUAGGUGGGGUAACGGCUCACCUAGGCGACGAUCCCUAGCUGGUCUGAGAGGAUGACCAGCCACACUGGAACUGAGACACGGUCCAGACUCCUACGGGAGGCAGCAGUGGGGAAUAUUGCACAAUGGGCGCAAGCCUGAUGCAGCCAUGCCGCGUGUAUGAAGAAGGCCUUCGGGUUGUAAAGUACUUUCAGCGGGGAGGAAGGUGUUGAGGUUAAUAACCUCAGCAAUUGACGUUACCCGCAGAAGAAGCACCGGCUAACUCCGUGCCAGCAGCCGCGGUAAUACGGAGGGUGCAAGCGUUAAUCGGAAUUACUGGGCGUAAAGCGCACGCAGGCGGUCUGUCAAGUCGGAUGUGAAAUCCCCGGGCUCAACCUGGGAACUGCAUUCGAAACUGGCAGGCUAGAGUCUUGUAGAGGGGGUAGAAUUCCAGGUGUAGCGGUGAAAUGCGUAGAGAUCUGGAGGAAUACCGGUGGCGAAGGCGGCCCCCUGGACAAAGACUGA
RNAcentral lists this ribosomal RNA (666 nucleotides) under uncultured bacterium. RNAcentral's name for it is "bacterial SSU rRNA". It matches the Rfam family "Bacterial small subunit ribosomal RNA", at positions 80 to 743 of the family's 1533-position model. The record is from RNAcentral.